AGUGAACGCUGGCGGUAGGCCUAACACAUGCAAGUCGAACGGCAGCACAGUAAGAGCUUGCUCUUACGGGUGGCGAGUGGCGGACGGGUGAGGAAUACAUCGGAAUCUACUUUUUCGUGGGGGAUAACGUAGGGAAACUUACGCUAAUACCGCAUACGACCUACGGGUGAAAGCAGGGGAUCUUCGGACCUUGCGCGAUUGAAUGAGCCGAUGUCGGAUUAGCUAGUUGGCGGGGUAAAGGCCCACAAAGGCGACGAUCCGUAGCUGGUCUGAGAGGAUGAUCAGCCACACUGGAACUGAGACACGGUCCAGACUCCUACGGGAGGCAGCAGUGGGGAAUAUUGGACAAUGGGCGCAAUCCUGAUCCAGCCAUACCGCGUGGGUGAAGAAGGCCUUCGGGUUGUAAAGCCCUUUUGUUGGGAAAGAAAAGCAGCAGGUUAAUACCCCGCUGUUCUGACGGUACCCAAAGAAUAAGCACCGGCUAACUUCGUG
RNAcentral lists this ribosomal RNA (492 nucleotides) under uncultured bacterium. Its description in RNAcentral is "partial 16S ribosomal RNA". It matches the Rfam family "Bacterial small subunit ribosomal RNA", at positions 29 to 507 of the family's 1533-position model. The record is from RNAcentral.